UUCUGAGAAUCAAACAUUGAUUUGAGUUGUUUUUCUGUGGAACAAACUGAAACUACAACGACUGUGAGACUGCAAAUAAAGAACGUGAAGCAAAACGAGUAUAUAAGGACU
RNAcentral lists this long non-coding RNA (111 nucleotides) under Gouania willdenowi (blunt-snouted clingfish). RNAcentral describes it as "lncRNA (ENSGWIG00000019233.1)". Lineage: Eukaryota; Metazoa; Chordata; Actinopteri; Blenniiformes; Gobiesocidae. The record is from RNAcentral.